CAUUCCCAUAUCCUUUUCAUUACAAUUCUUUAUACCUGGAAUAUUUCCAAUAAUCAAAUCAAUAUGAGCAUGGUUUAUUACACAUGCAUCCACCAUUCCAGUAAAAUAUGGUGUAUAAUUGUUAAUUCUAGCAACUGGUAAUUGUACGGUCUUCCCAUCAAACAUUACGCAGUUCCUGAUUUUGCCGGUAUAGUAUUUUUCUUCUACCAAUUGCCUAUCAACUCCCACUAUUGUACUCCAUGUAUCUCUUAUCGUUCUUACUAGUUUGUUUUCAACGAAGGUCUCAAAAUACUCCAGGCUUCCUGCCUCCUGCACAUGUUAACAUUGACAGGCUUUGAUCUCUUCUAUCUCUUACCCCGAAACGUGCCGCAUCUUCAAUUUUAUCUCCAUAAAGAACGUUUUACAAAACUGUAAAAUUAUAUAGGCAACACUAUUUUCGAAAAAUAGCAACGGACUCGUUUCGUAAUAUUUCGCUAUGUAAAUUUGGAUUCUAAAAAUAGUGUUAAAUCUAUAUAGGCUAAAUUAAAAAUAAAACCUAAAAAUUGUGUUAUUAUUAUGAAUAAGUUUCUUUUUUUUUUUCAUUACUUUCUUAAAACAAAAACUCACGGACCUCACACUGUAGGAGCCCAAAUCGCUGCUAUAGAUACCCAGCUUCUAAGGAGGGCUUCAACGAAAAUUUUGUCAUGUAGGUGUUUCACCCGGAGACAAGUUUUAGAAGACUUCCAACAUCGCCAUUGUUCUUUCUGAAUGUUUAACAUUAACUUCAUAGGAGACAAGUUUUAGAAGACUUCCAACAGCACCAUUGUUUUGUCUGAAUGUUUGACAUUAACUUCAUAUGAGACAAGUUUUAGAAGACUUCCAACAGCGACAUUGUUCUGUCUGAAUGUUUACGUCAACUUCACUGGAGACCAAAGUUUUUGAAGGACUUUUGUUAAAGAAAUGAAUGUUUGUCCUACUCCAUUACUGUGAAUAAUUGGAAGUCAUUGUCUUAAUUGUGGAAACCAAGACUCUCAGAAAAAGAAGUUACUCAAGUAUGUUGCAGUCAGUAGGAUAUAUGGGAUGUUGUAGUACAAUGUUGGGAACAAUGCAUACUUUGGACAACUCACAAGAAAUACAAGUGGAAUGUACUAGCACUGAAUUCAAAGCAUUAAUGGUAAUGGCUUCUCCUAUGUUAGGUCAUCUAAUUAUUAGAAAAAGACCUAUCCAAAUAAUUUUCUAUUGCACCUUGUUCUGAGCUUCCAGUUCAGGUCAUUGAAUAUUACACAAACAUUUUGUUUUGUUUUAACACAAAAAAAAUUGAAUAGCACCAAGAGUUUUCAAUGAUUCAUUUUGUAAGUUAAUUGAUAUUUUGUAUAUGUCUUUUGGCUUGUAACUAAAGGCAAUAGAGUUACAUAGCUUUAAUUGUUACAGAUAUAUACAUAAAAUGAGUAGUUGUGGUUCUCCAUAAAUGUUAUAUCUUCAACAUUUUUAAUUUGCAAAUAUUUCUAGAAUUUAAUUCAAUAAAAAAAAAAUAAA
Biomphalaria glabrata is the source of this 1515-nucleotide long non-coding RNA. RefSeq lists it as uncharacterized. The record is from RefSeq and is a predicted model, not a curated record. NCBI's taxonomy places the organism in Eukaryota, Metazoa, Mollusca, Gastropoda, Planorbidae. The transcript is spliced from 3 exons.